AAAAACAUUAAGGUGGUAUGGGUGUCUUCCUCCAUCUUGGAUUGUAAAAAACAGAGAAUCAAAGGUCCAGAUUUUCCAUCAAGUUAGCAAAAUUUGAUGCAGGAAUUCAGAUAUUUUAUGUACAUUUUCAUUUAAAAGUACCAAUUUAUAAGAAUAUAACUUCUAAAUAUUGAUAUUUUUGCAAAUGUUAAUUAUUUUUGGUUGUUUUUAUUUUUUUUUUAAAUUGGC
RNAcentral lists this long non-coding RNA (228 nucleotides) under Mytilus galloprovincialis (Mediterranean mussel). Lineage: Eukaryota; Metazoa; Mollusca; Bivalvia; Mytilida; Mytilidae. The record is from RNAcentral.